GUACGGCAGAGGGGGAUGGAAUUCCGCGUGUAGCAGUGAAAUGCGUAAAUAUGCGGAGGAACACCGAUGGCGAAGGCAAUCCCCUGGGCCUGUACUGACGCUCAUGCACGAAAGCGUGGGGAGCAAACAGGAUUAAAUACCCUGGUAGUCCACGCCCUAAACGAUGUCAACUGGUUGUUGGGUCUUCACUGACUCAGUAACGAAGCUAACGCGUGAAGUUGACCGCCUGGGGAGUACGGCCGC
Molecule: ribosomal RNA, 243 nt
Filed under: uncultured bacterium
Lineage: Bacteria
Description: partial 16S ribosomal RNA
Rfam family: Bacterial small subunit ribosomal RNA
Source: RNAcentral